Long non-coding RNA from Perca fluviatilis (European perch), 346 nucleotides. RefSeq lists it as uncharacterized. The record is from RefSeq and is a predicted model, not a curated record. The transcript is spliced from 2 exons. NCBI's taxonomy places the organism in Eukaryota, Metazoa, Chordata, Actinopteri, Perciformes, Percidae.
CGUUCAGCGUUCUACUCUGCUCGGCAACAAGACUCCCAGCGAGGUUUCUCGCCGUUUUCGGGAUCUGAUGCGUUUGUUCCGGACGGCGGCUCGUCAGACCGGCUCCGAGGACGAGGCCCCGCCCCCUGAGCCGGCAGCAGCCAAUGAGGAAGAAGAUUGACGUUACCCAAUCAGAGGAGCCGCAACAGAUGAAAUGUUUCUGGGGCUUUUAUUGUGAAAGGAUCCACAGACUGUAAUGUUUCUGGGGCUUUUAUUGUGAAAGGAUCGACAGACUGUAAAUAUGAAAAUAUCAGAUUAUUUAAUGUGUUUUUUGUCUUUUACAAUAAAACUGUUUUUUCAUCAAAAA